This is a long non-coding RNA of Bufo bufo (common toad), 523 nucleotides long. RefSeq lists it as uncharacterized. Lineage: Eukaryota; Metazoa; Chordata; Amphibia; Anura; Bufonidae. The transcript is spliced from 5 exons. The record is from RefSeq and is a predicted model, not a curated record.
GGGGCGUGGUCAGCGCGGGCUGUGAUGAACAGAUUGGCGUAACUCGGGGCGAACCUGCUGCCCAUAGCGGUCCCAACAGUCUGCAGCUGAGGAGAUCGCUGUCGGCCCUGGAGGACUGAGCACAUCACGCCAAUCAGCGCGUCCGAGGCCGGGUCACUGCAACCACCAGGAGAGACACGGAGCACAGCAGAUAGGACCAAAGAAGCAAGAACUGUAUGGAAGGGAACAAGGAAUGAAUUGUGCUGAAAUCCCAAGCAAGUCUUGCAAAAGCUUUGCAUUAUCUCAUGAUGAGGUGGGAACAGCGCCUGGAGAAGGAAGGCUCGGCACAGGGUGACGUGUCCGAUGCCGUAGUCCCUGGACGCACAUCUCUCCCAGCUCGGCCAGUGGGUCCUCGGUACUAGUUGCAGUUCCUUACCUCUGUUUGCACCAUGGCCGGUCGCUGUGUUCUUAAAGUCUUCACAGUCUGGAACAUGUCCACUACUCCUUCAUACCUCAUCCUCUCCAGGACAAUGCUGAGUGUGAU